Molecule: long non-coding RNA, 1356 nt
Filed under: Equus caballus (horse)
Lineage: Eukaryota; Metazoa; Chordata; Mammalia; Perissodactyla; Equidae
Description: lncRNA (ENSECAG00000033269.2)
Source: RNAcentral
CUGCUUUCUGCCAGGAUCCCAGGUGCUGGAGUGGUGCUGAGCAGGUGGAGGGGAGAGGUGAGAGAUUCCAGGCAGGGAAGUAACGUGCCUGACAUCCAUGGAACCAGUUCCUCCCAGAGGUGGCACUGCUGACUCUCCGUUCACAGCCACUUACACUACCGUCCCUGCAGAAAUGGGGUGCUACAGAGAAUGUCCUUAGCAAACUUUCAGAGACAAGGCUAUUUUAGAGUGCAAGAGCAAAAACCCAUUCAACCCGGCAAAAAUCACAGAGUCUUAGAAAGAAUCAGGAUCUUACAGAGCUCCAGUCAGGCCUCAUUGGGAACUGGAACCAGCAAUUGGAAAAGCAGCAGGAACCUAGACAGUUAUUGUCCCUCGUGUGGGUGUGUGUAUUUGUCUCCAGGCUACUUUCUCUCUGCUUCCCUUUGCACAUGAAGCUGCAGGAGCAGGAACCUGGUCAGCCCUUUCGGUCAGGUGUCCACCCCUUCUCCCUCCAGGAACGAGCAGGGAGCGGAGCCAGUUGUAGAAACAUGGGAAGAAAGUUUGAGGACGGUGGCUAACUGCCGCCGGGGACCUACGUCAGAGCUUGAACUGACCUCCCCUCAAGGGUUCUCAUAUGGGCACAGAACCUAGAGCUCAUUCAGUGCAACGCCCUCAUGUUCCUGGGUGUCUGUCACCGGUUCUGUGUCUACUGAUGCGCAGGCAUAAAUCUCCAAUUUUUCAACAACUUAUUUACAGAAAGAAUCGCGAAGCCGCUGACCUCAGACUCGCAUCUCUGAGGAACCUGACUUUGGACUUUAGCCUACGUGUUAAACCUCAGGAAAUUUUAUACAUGAGCAAGGAACACAGGACCCAAGACAAGCAGACUGAUCGUCAAGCCGCUGUCUCAAUUUUUUUAAAUGUUCUUGAGAACAUUUGACGUGUUCUUCGAGCCAAAGCAAUAGCUUCUUAUUUGGUGAGCAUGUUUUUUGAGACAAUACGAGGCUCGACUUUAAAAUUUACCCAAAUAAAAGUGUGUAUGCAUGUCUGUUAAUUCCUAAUGUCAUUCUUCUUUCAUAUAUAUUUUUUGCAUAAUUUUCAGCUAUUCUGCACGAAUUAAAACUGGUUAGUUUUUCCUUCUUUUCAUUACUGUUCCAGCCUUCUUAGGAUGAGCUCUAUUACAUAAAAAGGAUUGCGCUUUACUUUUCCUUCUACUCUGGAUCUGUAUCUCUGAAACUGUUCAUGUAGACUUUGGGCCAAUGACUGAUUAUUCCAUAGAGAAGCUGGGUCACAAAAAAUAUUGAUUACAGAUCACAUAGACUUGUGUGACUCAUAGGAGGUGGUGUAAAAGAAAGCUAAGUGGGGAAAAUUCUUGUUUUC